GAACGUAUGGCUUAGUUGGUCAGAGCGCAGACGGUUUCCAAGAGGCGAGGGUUCAUAUUCCGCUACGUUCA
This 71-nucleotide transfer RNA is filed under the name Heliconius melpomene (postman butterfly). Its description in RNAcentral is "tRNA HMEL005762". It matches the Rfam family "tRNA". From Rfam's summary of the family: Transfer RNA (tRNA) molecules are approximately 80 nucleotides in length. Their secondary structure includes four short double-helical elements and three loops (D, anti-codon, and T loops). The record is from RNAcentral. Lineage: Eukaryota; Metazoa; Arthropoda; Insecta; Lepidoptera; Nymphalidae.